RNAcentral lists this ribosomal RNA (424 nucleotides) under uncultured Christensenella sp. Its description in RNAcentral is "bacterial SSU rRNA". It matches the Rfam family "Bacterial small subunit ribosomal RNA", at positions 338 to 759 of the family's 1533-position model. Lineage: Bacteria; Bacillati; Bacillota; Clostridia; Christensenellales; Christensenellaceae. The record is from RNAcentral.
CCUACGGGGGGCAGCAGUGAGGAAUAUUGGUCAAUGGGCGAGAGCCUGAACCAGCCAAGUAGCGUGAAGGAUGACUGCCCUAUGGGUUGUAAACUUCUUUUAUAAAGGAAUAAAGUCGGGUAUGCAUACCCGUUUGCAUGUACUUUAUGAAUAAGGAUCGGCUAACUCCGUGCCAGCAGCCGCGGUAAUACGGAGGAUCCGAGCGUUAUCCGGAUUUAUUGGGUUUAAAGGGAGCGUAGGCGGGUGCUUAAGUCAGUUGUGAAAGUUUGCGGCUCAACCGUAAAAUUGCAGUUGAUACUGGGCGCCUUGAGUGCAGCAUAGGUAGGCGGAAUUCGUGGUGUAGCGGUGAAAUGCUUAGAUAUCACGAAGAACUCCGAUUGCGAAGGCAGCCUGCUAAGCUGCAACUGACAUUGAGGCUCGAAAG